GGUCAAGUGAAGAAGCGCAUACGGUGGAUGCCUUGGCAGUCAGAGGCGAUGAAAGACGUGGUAGCCUGCGAAAAGCUUCGGGGAGUCGGCAAACAGACUGUGAUCCGGAGAUGUCUGAAUGGGGGAACCCAGCCAUCAUAAGAUGGUUAUCUUACACUGAAUACAUAGGUGUAAGAGGCGAACCAGGGGAACUGAAACAUCUAAGUACCCUGAGGAAAAGAAAUCAACCGAGAUUCCCUUAGUAGUGGCGAGCGAACGGGGACCAGCCCUUAAGUUGUAUUGAGAUUAGCGGAACGCUCUGGAAAGUGCGGCCAUAGUGGGUGAUAGCCCUGUACGCGAAAAUCCCUUUGCAAUGAAAUCGAGUAGGACGGGGCACGAGAAACCUUGUCUGAAUAUGGGGGGACCAUCCUCCAAGGCUAAAUACUACUGACUGACCGAUAGUGAACCAGUACCGUGAGGGAAAGGCGAAAAGAACCGCGGAGAGCGGAGUGAAAUAGAUCCUGAAACCGUAUGCGUACAAGCAGUGGGAGCCCACUUUGUUGGGUGACUGCGUACCUUUUGUAUAAUGGGUCAGCGACUUAUUUUCAGUGGCGAGCUUAACCGAAUAGGGGAGGCGUAGCGAAAGCGAGUCUUAAUAGGGCGUCUAGUCGCUGGGAAUAGACCCGAAACCGGGCGAUCUAUCCAUGGGCAGGUUGAAGGUUGGGUAACACUAACUGGAGGACCGAACCGACUACCGUUGAAAAGUUAGCGGAUGACCUGUGGAUCGGAGUGAAAGGCUAAUCAAGCUCGGAGAUAGCUGGUUCUCCUCGAAAGCUAUUUAGGUAGCGCCUCAUGUAUCACUGUAGGGGGUAGAGCACUGUUUCGGCUAGGGGGUCAUCCCGACUUACCAAACCGAUGCAAACUCCGAAUACCUACAAGUGCCGAGCAUGGGAGACACACGGCGGGUGCUAACGUCCGUCGUGAAAAGGGAAACAACCCAGACCGUCAGCUAAGGUCCCAAAGUCAUGGUUAAGUGGGAAACGAUGUGGGAAGGCUUAGACAGCUAGGAGGUUGGCUUAGAAGCAGCCACCCUUUAAAGAAAGCGUAAUAGCUCACUAGUCGAGUCGGCCUGCGCGGAAGAUGUAACGGGGCUCAAACCAUGCACCGAAGCUACGGGUAUCAUCUUAUGAUGAUGCGGUAGAGGAGCGUUCUGUAAGCCUGUGAAGGUGAGUUGAGAAGCUUGCUGGAGGUAUCAGAAGUGCGAAUGCUGACAUGAGUAACGACAAUGGGUGUGAAAAACACCCACGCCGAAAGACCAAGGUUUCCUGCGCAACGUUAAUCGACGCAGGGUUAGUCGGUCCCUAAGGCGAGGCUGAAAAGCGUAGUCGAUGGAAAACAGGUUAAUAUUCCUGUACUUCUGGUUAUUGCGAUGGAGGGACGGAGAAGGCUAGGCCAGCCUGGCGUUGGUAGUCCAGGUUUAAGGUGGUAGGCUGAGAUCUUAGGUAAAUCCGGGAUCUUAAGGCCGAGAGCUGAUGACGAGUGUUCUUUUAGAACAUGAAGUGGUUGAUGCCAUGCUUCCAAGAAAAGCUUCUAAGCUUCAGGUAACCAGGAACCGUACCCCAAACCGACACAGGUGGUUGGGUAGAGAAUACCAAGGCGCUUGAGAGAACUCGGGUGAAGGAACUAGGCAAAAUGGCACCGUAACUUCGGGAGAAGGUGCGCCGGUGAGGGUGAAGCAUUUACUGCGUAAGCCCACGCCGGUCGAAGAUACCAGGCCGCUGCGACUGUUUAUUAAAAACACAGCACUCUGCAAACACGAAAGUGGACGUAUAGGGUGUGACGCCUGCCCGGUGCCGGAAGGUUAAUUGAUGGGGUUAGCGCAAGCGAAGCUCUUGAUCGAAGCCCCGGUAAACGGCGGCCGUAACUAUAACGGUCCUAAGGUAGCGAAAUUCCUUGUCGGGUAAGUUCCGACCUGCACGAAUGGCGUAACGAUGGCGGCGCUGUCUCCACCCGAGACUCAGUGAAAUUGAAAUCGCUGUGAAGAUGCAGUGUAUCCGCGGCUAGACGGAAAGACCCCGUGAACCUUUACUAUAGCUUUGCACUGGACUUUGAAUUUGCUUGUGUAGGAUAGGUGGGAGGCUUUGAAGCGUGGACGCCAGUCUGCGUGGAGCCAACCUUGAAAUACCACCCUGGCAACUUUGAGGUUCUAACUCAGGUCCGUUAUCCGGAUCGAGGACAGUGUAUGGUGGGUAGUUUGACUGGGGCGGUCUCCUCCUAAAGAGUAACGGAGGAGUACGAAGGUGCGCUCAGACCGGUCGGAAAUCGGUCGUAGAGUAUAAAGGCAAAAGCGCGCUUGACUGCGAGACAGACACGUCGAGCAGGUACGAAAGUAGGUCUUAGUGAUCCGGUGGUUCUGUAUGGAAGGGCCAUCGCUCAACGGAUAAAAGGUACUCCGGGGAUAACAGGCUGAUACCGCCCAAGAGUUCAUAUCGACGGCGGUGUUUGGCACCUCGAUGUCGGCUCAUCACAUCCUGGGGCUGAAGCCGGUCCCAAGGGUAUGGCUGUUCGCCAUUUAAAGUGGUACGCGAGCUGGGUUUAGAACGUCGUGAGACAGUUCGGUCCCUAUCUGCCGUGGACGUUUGAGAUUUGAGAGGGGCUGCUCCUAGUACGAGAGGACCGGAGUGGACGAACCUCUGGUGUUCCGGUUGUCACGCCAGUGGCAUUGCCGGGUAGCUAUGUUCGGAAAAGAUAACCGCUGAAAGCAUCUAAGCGGGAAACUUGCCUCAAGAUGAGAUCUCACUGGAACCUUGAGUUCCCUGAAGGGCCGUCGAAGACUACGACGUUGAUAGGUUGGGUGUGUAAGCGCUGUGAGGCGUUGAGCUAACCAAUACUAAUUGCCCGUGAGGCUUGACCAU
Molecule: ribosomal RNA, 2894 nt
Filed under: Pseudomonas syringae
Lineage: Bacteria; Pseudomonadati; Pseudomonadota; Gammaproteobacteria; Pseudomonadales; Pseudomonadaceae
Also listed under: 2 other names
Description: 23S ribosomal RNA
Rfam family: Bacterial large subunit ribosomal RNA
Source: RNAcentral